This 253-nucleotide ribosomal RNA is filed under the name uncultured bacterium. RNAcentral's name for it is "partial 16S ribosomal RNA". It matches the Rfam family "Bacterial small subunit ribosomal RNA", at positions 524 to 776 of the family's 1533-position model. The record is from RNAcentral.
UACGUAGGGGGCUAGCGUUGCCCGGAUUUAUUGGGCGUAAAGAGCGUGUAGGCGGCCAGAUAGGUCUGCUGUGAAAACUCGAGGCUCAACCUCGAGAUGUCGGCGGAAACCAUUUGGCUAGAGUCCGGAAGAGGAAAGUGGAAUUCCUGGUGUAGCGGUGAAAUGCGCAGAUAUCAGGAAGAACACCCGUGGCGAAGGCGGCUUUCUGGGACGGUACUGACGCUGAGACGCGAAAGCGUGGGGAGUGAACAGG